RNAcentral lists this unclassified non-coding RNA (286 nucleotides) under plant metagenome. RNAcentral's name for it is "partial contains small subunit ribosomal RNA, internal transcribed spacer 1, and 5.8S ribosomal RNA". The stretch from base 1 to 55 matches the Rfam family "Eukaryotic small subunit ribosomal RNA", at positions 1778 to 1831 of the family's 1831-position model. The record is from RNAcentral.
GGAAGUAAAAGGUCGUAACAAGGUUUCCGUAGGUGAACCUGCGGAAGGAUCAUUAUUGUAUAACCGAGGUGCGAGGGCUGUCGCUGACCCGAAAGGUCGUGCACGCCCGAGUGCCCUCACACACAUCCAUCUCACCCCUAUGUGCACCACCGCGUGGGUCCCCCUUUGGCUUGUUCGGAGGGGGGCUUACGUUUUCACACAAACUUUGUAUGCAGCGUAGAAUGUAUUUUUUGUUUUUGCGAUCACGCAAUCAAUACAACUUUCAACAACGGAUCUCUUGGCUCUC